RNAcentral lists this unclassified non-coding RNA (443 nucleotides) under Hevea brasiliensis (rubber tree). Lineage: Eukaryota; Viridiplantae; Streptophyta; Magnoliopsida; Malpighiales; Euphorbiaceae. The record is from RNAcentral.
CACCCAUCCGGCGAAUCCUUCUCAUCCUUCCUUAUUUGGACAAAGGGGCCAAUUUGGGAGGUUCAGCUUGCUUUUCAACCGGCAACGGGAGCUCGGCGGCGUCCCUCCUCGACGAUACCAGCAAACUCCGGCGGCGGUGGCGCUCACAGCAAAGGAAAAGGAGGAUGAGCUAUCUUCUAAGGACCUUAACAAAGAAGAGAGAAGUGGAUUCCCUCAUUAGGGACACGAUCGAUAAGGUUCUAAUUCUCCGAUUUGGGCGGUGUUCCGAUUCAGUUUGUCUCCUCCAUGACGACAUUCUUGCUAAAUGCGCACGGGAAGUAUCGAAGUUUGCUUCAAUAGCACUGGUUGAUAUUGAUUCACAAGACAUACAGGUUUACGUUAAGUACUUUGACAUAACUCUUAUACCAUCCACUGUUUUCUUCUUCAAUGCUCAUCAUAUGAAG